GAACGCUGGCGGCGUGCUUAACACCUGCAAGUCGAACGAAGCACUUAUGUUUGAUUCUUCGGAUGAAGACUUUUGUGACUGAGUGGCGGACGGGUGAGUAACGCGUGGGUAACCUGCCUCAUACAGGGGGAUUACAGUUAGAAAUGACUGCUAAUACCGCAUAAGACCACAGCACCGCAUGGUGCAGGGGUAAAAACUCCGGUGGUAUGAGAUGGACUCGCGUCUGAUUAGCUAGUUGGUGGGGUUAACGGCCUACCAAGGCGACGAUCAGUAGCCGACCUGAGAGGGUGACCGGCCCCAUUUGGGACUGAGACACGGCCCCAAACUCCUACGGGAGGCAGCAGUGGGGAAUAUUGCACAAUGGGGGAAACCCUGAUGCAGCGACGCCGCGUGAAGGAUGAAGUAUUUCGGUAUGUAAACUUCUAUCAGCAGGGAAGAAAAUGACGGUACCUGACUAAGAAGCCCCGGCUAACUACGUGCCAGCAGCCGCGGUAAUACGUAGGGGGCAAGCGUUAUCCGGAUUUACUGGGUGUAAAGGGAGCGUAGACGGUAUGGCAAGUCUGAUGUGAAAGGCCAGGGCUCAACCCUGGGACUGCAUUGGAAACUGUCGAACUAGAGUGUCGGAGAGGCAAGUGGAAUUCCUAGUGUAGCGGUGAAAUGCGUAGAUAUUAGGAGGAACACCAGUGGCGAAGGCGGCUUGCUGGACGAUGACUGACGUUGAGGCUCGAAAGCGUGGGGAGCAAACAGGAUUAGAUACCCUGGUAGUCCACGCCGUAAAC
Molecule: ribosomal RNA, 779 nt
Filed under: uncultured bacterium
Lineage: Bacteria
Description: bacterial SSU rRNA
Rfam family: Bacterial small subunit ribosomal RNA
Source: RNAcentral